RNAcentral lists this unclassified non-coding RNA (344 nucleotides) under soil metagenome. RNAcentral describes it as "partial contains 5.8S ribosomal RNA, internal transcribed spacer 2, and large subunit ribosomal RNA". The stretch from base 1 to 120 matches the Rfam family "5.8S ribosomal RNA", at positions 35 to 154 of the family's 154-position model. The record is from RNAcentral.
GAUGAAGAACGCAGCGAAAUGCGAUACGUAAUGUGAAUUGCAGAAUUCAGUGAAUCAUCGAGUCUUUGAACGCACAUUGCGCCCCCUGGUAUUCCGGGGGGCAUGCCUGUCCGAGCGUCAUUGCUGCCCUCAAGCACGGCUUGUGUGUUGGGCCUCCGUCCUCCUCCCGGGGGACGGGCCCGAAAGGCAGCGGCGGCACCGCGUCCGGUCCUCGAGCGUAUGGGGCUUCGUCACCCGCUCUUGUAGGCCCGGCCGGCGCUUGCCGACACAUCAAUCUUUUUUCCAGGUUGACCUCGGAUUAGGUAGGGAUACCCGCUGAACUUAAGCAUAUCAAAAGCGGAGGA